Molecule: ribosomal RNA, 207 nt
Filed under: uncultured bacterium
Lineage: Bacteria
Description: partial 16S ribosomal RNA
Rfam family: Bacterial small subunit ribosomal RNA
Source: RNAcentral
CGUGUAGGCGGUGGGACAAGUCAGAUGUGAAAGCCCCCGGCUUAACCGGGGAAUUGCAUUUGAAACUGUUUUGCUUGAGUGCGAGAGGGGGUAGUGGAAUUCCCAGUGUAGCGGUGAAAUGCGUAGAUAUUGGGAAGAACACCAGUAGCGAAGGCGGCUACCUGGCUCGCAACUGACGCUAAGGCGCGAAAGCGUGGGGAGCAAACA